RNAcentral lists this ribosomal RNA (787 nucleotides) under uncultured archaeon. RNAcentral's name for it is "bacterial SSU rRNA". It matches the Rfam family "Archaeal small subunit ribosomal RNA", at positions 118 to 924 of the family's 1478-position model. The record is from RNAcentral.
GGGGGAAGAAACUCUGGAAAUGAGUCUUUGCCAAAAAAAGACGUUUACGUUAUGCUUGUAGGCGUCGCCCAAAGGAUGAGGCCGCGACCGAUCAGGUUGUUGGUGAGGUAAUGGCUCCCAAGCCUUUUACCGGUGCGGGCCGUGAGAGCGGGAGCCCGGAGAUGGGCACUGAGACAAGGGCCCAGGCCCUACGGGGCGCAGCAGUCGCGAAAACUUUGCAAUACACGAAAGUGUGACAGGGCUAUCCCGAGUGCCAUCCGCUGAGGAAGGCUUUUACCCAGUCUAGAACGCUGGGGGAAUAAGGAGAGGGCAAGUCUGGUGUCAGCCGCCGCGGUAAUACCAGCUCUCCGAGUGGUGUGGAUGUUUAUUGGGCCUAAAGCAUCCGUAGCUGGCUGAGUUAGUCCCUUGUUAAAUCCACCGAAUUAAUCGUUGGAUUGCGGGGGAUACUGCUCGGCUAGGGGACGAGAGAGGCAGACGGUAUUUCUGGGGUAGGGGUGAAAUCCUAUAAUCCCAGGAGGACCACCAGUGGCGAAGGCUGUCUGCUAGAACGCGCCCGACGGUGAGGGAUGAAAGCUGGGGGAGCGAACCGGAUUAGAUACCCGGGUAGUCCCAGCUGUAAACGAUGCAGACUAGGUGUUUGGACGGCUACGUGCCGUUCUAGUGCCGCAGGGAAGCUGUUAAGUCUGCCGCCUGGGGAGUACGAUCGCAAGAUUGAAACUUAAAGGAAUUGGCGGGGGAGCACCACAAGGGGUGAAGCUUGCGGUUUAAUUGGAGUCAACGCCGGGAA